This is a non-coding RNA of Phalacrocorax carbo (great cormorant), 747 nucleotides long. The record is from RefSeq and is a predicted model, not a curated record. Lineage: Eukaryota; Metazoa; Chordata; Aves; Suliformes; Phalacrocoracidae.
UGUCGGAAGCAUCGGCAGUAAGAAAACAUGUCAACAGAAUAAAAUAUUAACCAAUGACAGAGAAAAGUGCUUGAAAUCCCACCCCCGGCUCCUUUCCGCAUACCGGGUCAGCCCUGGCUGCGCCGCGGCCGGGGAGCGGCCGCCGCCGGUGCGGGGACAGCGCGGAGCCACCUCGGCGGAGCGGGGAGCGGCGCCCGGGCCCGCCCGGCCCGGAGCCCCCGGGGGGGCGGGGGGCGGCAAAGGGCCCCCGCCGGUCUGUGCGGGGGCGGCGGGCCGGGGAGCGGGGUGGGGGGGGGGAGGUGGAGCGGCCGGGGGAGCUCGGCGGCUGCCGUCUUACGACAGAUCCUGGAGAGCGGAUCGAGGUGGGUCUCGCCCCGCCCGCCGCUCCGUGCAGAGCCGCGCAAUGCCGCGCAGCGCCGCGCAACGCCGCGCAGCGCCGACGGGGCGGCCGCCAGGAGCGCGGCCCGGCCGAGAGCUGCGGGCGGCGGCGAGGCCCCGAGCGGCCACUUCCAGCGCGGAAAAACCGGAGCCCCUCAUGGCCCCAGGGCCGCAUCGCCCCACGCCGGGGGCGGCUUGCCCGCCGCUCCGCCGGGAGAUGCGGGACCCGGCCCGUCGGGGCCUGGAGGCAGCCGGGUCCCCGCGAGGAAAUGUCGUCUCUCCUCGGGCCCGGGACCCCCGCCCGCGCCCCCCCGCACCGCUGUAACGUCGCAAACGCCCUUGCCUGCAGAAUAAAACCGACCCGGAGCA